ACCCGCCGAACUUAAGCAUAUCACUAAGCGGAGGAAAAGAAACUAACAAGGAUUGCCUCAGUAACGGCGAGUGAAGCGGCAAGAGCUCAAACUGGUAAUCCCCGUGCUUCGCGCGGUGGAAUUGUAAUCUACAGUGGGUUCGCUCACCGGGUGGUGGCGCAGAAGUGCCUUAGAACGGGCCGCCAGAGAGGGUGACAGCCCCGUAUGCAGCGCCAUCGCCUAACGAGCGGGUCUUCGAAGAGUCGGGUUGUUUUGUAUUGCAGCCCUAAGUGGGAGAUAAACUUCUUCUAAGGCUAAAUACCUAUGGGAAACCGAUAGCGAACAAGUACUGUGAAGGAAAGAUGAAAAGCACUUUGAAAAGAGAGUCAAAAGACUUGAAACUGUUGAGGAGGAACCGAUAGAAAUUUAUCGUUCGGCGGUGAGCGGUGCCUCCUGUCUAUCUAUUGAGCUUUGUCAGCACUUCAACGGCUGCUGGGCUUACAUGGGGAAGCAGGUGGCUUGUUCUACGUCGUCAGGCAAAAUGGGUUUGCGCUCCCGCAAGGCUGCAGAGGUCUGGCUCGCUUCGGCGGGCAGCCUAGGUGUGCUGGCGGGCGCGCAGACUGAGGGUGCCUAGUGCGAUUUUGCCAAAAUAGUUUCUAUCGACCCGUCUUGAAACACGGACCAAGGAGUCUAACAUAUAUGCGAGUGUGAUGGUGGAGAAACCAACACGCGUAAUGAAGGUAAUUGGUGCCAAGCGCAAGCAGCAGCAUCGACCGACUAUGAUUCUCUGAUGAAAGGUUUGAGUAAGAGCAUAUCUGUUAGGACCCGAAAGAUGGUGAACUAUGCCUGAGUAGGGUGAAGCCAGGGGAAACUCUGGUGGAAGCUCGUAGCGGUACUGACGUGCAAAUCGUUCGUCGAACUUGGGUAUAGGGGCGAAAGACUAAUCGAACCAUCUAGUAGCUGGUUCCCUCCGAAGUUUCCCUCAGGAUAGCUGGGACAAGAACGCAGUUUUAUUAGGUAAAGCGAAUGAUUAGAGGCCUCGGGGGUAAAAUACCCUCGACCUAUUCUCAAACUUUAAAUUGGUAAGAACCUUGGCCUUUCUUAAGUGAGGCACAGGGGCUCAAUGCGUGUCCUUAGUGGGCCAUUUUUGGUAAGCAGAACUGGCGAUGAGGGAUGCACCUAACGUCGAGUUAAGGUGCCCAACUGCACGCUCAUCAGAUACCACAAAGGGUGUUGGUUCAUCCAGACAGCAGGACGGUGGCCAUGAAGUCGAUCCGCUACC
Molecule: ribosomal RNA, 1261 nt
Filed under: Amphisiella annulata
Lineage: Eukaryota; Ciliophora; Spirotrichea; Stichotrichida; Amphisiellidae
Description: LSU rRNA
Rfam family: Eukaryotic large subunit ribosomal RNA
Source: RNAcentral